Long non-coding RNA from Bos taurus (domestic cattle), 404 nucleotides. Lineage: Eukaryota; Metazoa; Chordata; Mammalia; Artiodactyla; Bovidae. The record is from Ensembl.
UCCAGAUCUGCUCUGCCACCCCAGCUGUUAUCACAGAUCCGUGCGCUUUAUACGCAUGUGCCUCCCGCGUCCUGUCCGUCUUACAUAACACAUCCAGUGCAGCAGAGGACACGAGAAAAUGCGACCCCAGCCCUCCCAGCCGAAAUCGGGCGAAGGGGUAGAAGCUAAGGAGUCCACCGACAGGAGAUGGCAAAGGAGAAAGCAUAAUCUCAACAAGACUGAAAUGCUUUUUCACUUUUGAUUGUUUAAAAAUAAACCUAGGGGAGAAAAAGAGUCAUCUUGGGGGAAAUUACGUUAAAAAUUAAGCAAAGAAACUUGCCCUAGGAAAGUGCUUCCUCUGACACCUGGAAAUCCAGGCCUUUCCCCUCACCCCGGGGAAGAAGCCGGAGUAGGAGCGGCGGCCG